RNAcentral lists this non-coding RNA (28 nucleotides) under Mus musculus (house mouse). Lineage: Eukaryota; Metazoa; Chordata; Mammalia; Rodentia; Muridae. The record is from RNAcentral.
UNGCAGAAACAGGGAACCAAAAAAUGGC